Molecule: ribosomal RNA, 460 nt
Filed under: uncultured bacterium
Lineage: Bacteria
Description: partial 16S ribosomal RNA
Rfam family: Bacterial small subunit ribosomal RNA
Source: RNAcentral
CCUACGGGCGGCAGCAGUGAGGAAUAUUGGUCAAUGGACGAGAGUCUGAACCAGCCAAGUAGCGUGAAGGAUGACUGCCCUAUGGGUUGUAAACUUCUUUUAUAUGGGAAUAAAAUGUUCCACGUGUGGGAUUUUGUAUGUACCAUAUGAAUAAGGAUCGACUAACUCCGUGCCAGCAGCCGCGGUAAUACGGAGGAUCCGAGCGUUAUCCGGAUUUAUUGGGUUUAAAGGGAGCGUAGGUGGAUUGUUAAGUCAGUUGUGAAAGUCUGCGGCUCAACCGUAGAAUUGCAGUUGAAACUGGCAGUCUUGAGUACAGUAGAGGGGGGCAGAAUUCGUGGUGUAGCGGUGAAAUGCGUAGAGAUCACGAAGAACUCCGAUUGCGAAGGCAGUUCACUGGACUGAAACUGACACUGAGGCGCGAAAGUGUGGGUAUCAAACAGGAUUAGAUACCCCAGUAGUC